RNAcentral lists this ribosomal RNA (500 nucleotides) under uncultured bacterium. Its description in RNAcentral is "partial 16S ribosomal RNA". It matches the Rfam family "Bacterial small subunit ribosomal RNA", at positions 30 to 523 of the family's 1533-position model. The record is from RNAcentral.
AUUGAACGCUGGCGGCAGGCCUAACACAUGCAAGUCGAGCGGAUGAGUGGAGGUUGCUCCAUGAUUCAGCGGCGGACGGGUGAGUAAUGCCUAGGAAUCUGCCUGGUAGUGGGGGACAACGUUUCGAAAGGAACGCUAAUACCGCAUACGUCCUAUGGGAGAAAGUGGGGGAUCUUCGGACCUCACGCUAUCAGAUGAGCCUAGGUCGGAUUAGCUAGUUGGUGAGGUAAAGGCUCACCAAGGCGACGAUCCGUAACUGGUCUGAGAGGAUGAUCAGUCACACUGGAACUGAGACACGGUCCAGACUCCUACGGGAGGCAGCAGUGGGGAAUAUUGGACAAGGGGCGAAAGCCUGAUCCAGCCAUGCCGCGUGUGUGAAGAAGGUCUUCGGAUUGUAAAGCACUUUAAGUUGGGAGGAAGGGCAGUAAGUUAAUACCUUGCUGUUUUGACGUUACCAACAGAAUAAGCACCGGCUAACUUCGUGCCAGCCGCCGCGGUAA